Molecule: unclassified non-coding RNA, 327 nt
Filed under: Hevea brasiliensis (rubber tree)
Lineage: Eukaryota; Viridiplantae; Streptophyta; Magnoliopsida; Malpighiales; Euphorbiaceae
Source: RNAcentral
GGAAGAUCCGGAAUGAAUAGUUUGAGCGGAGGUUGGUAAUGGGUAGGGAUAUGGAGCCCGACCCGGAUUCCCAUGAGGGCGAGGAAGAGAGGAAUUUAUAGCCAAUGAAAUGGUCGUUACGCGAGUCAGGGGGCGAGUAGAGGCCAAGCCAAUCUAGUUUGGAGGGCGAAUCAACAUUGGACCAGGAGACGGUGACGGUAUCGCCAGAUUUGGAGAGGAUGGUAGGUGUGACGGAAAUUUUGACUUUGGCGAGAGAGGAAGAGGUGAGAAGAGAGAAGAGGAGGAGAAGUAGAGGGAUUUUCAUGGUGAGAGAUAGUGAACAAUUUG